GUYUUUUUGUUAAAAAUUUAAAGUCGGGCCUGCCCACUGAAACUUUAAAUGGCCGUGGUAUUUUGACCGUGCUAAGGUAGCAUAAUCAUUAGUUUUUUAAUUGAAAGCUGGAAUGAAAGGUUUGAUAAAAAAAUGACUGUCUCUAUUUAAUUUUAUUAGAAAUUUAUUUUUAAGUUCAAAAGCUUAAUUUUUAUUAAAAGACGAGAAGACCCUAUAGAGUUUAAUAAUUUAAGGUAAUUUAUAGUUUAGAAUUAAUUCAUUUAUUUUUUAAUAUUAUUUAAUUGGGGUGAUUGAAAAAUUUAAUUAACUUUUUUUAUAUUUAACCAUUAAUUUAUGAUAAUUUGAUCCAAUUUUUUUGAUUAUAAGAUAAAAUUACCUUAGGGAUAACAGCGUAAUUUUUUUAGAAAGUUCAAAUUAAAAGAAAAGAUUGCGACCUCGAUGUUGGAUUAAAAUUAAAUUUUGGUGUAGAAGCUAAAAAUUUUAAGUCUGUUCGACUUUUAAAAUUUUACA
This 510-nucleotide ribosomal RNA is filed under the name Calligrapha verrucosa. RNAcentral's name for it is "partial 16S ribosomal RNA". The stretch from base 383 to 510 matches the Rfam family "Bacterial large subunit ribosomal RNA", at positions 2473 to 2600 of the family's 2925-position model. The record is from RNAcentral. Lineage: Eukaryota; Metazoa; Arthropoda; Insecta; Coleoptera; Chrysomelidae.